Molecule: long non-coding RNA, 2337 nt
Organism: Canis lupus familiaris (dog)
Lineage: Eukaryota; Metazoa; Chordata; Mammalia; Carnivora; Canidae
Exons: 5
Source: RefSeq, a predicted model, not a curated record
UUUGCCUGGGGCUGGGUUAGCAGGUGCCCAGAAAGUGCACUGGGCAGCCUGGGGACAGCCUCAGCCCUCUGGACACUGUGGUCUCUGGUGGACAGGGAGGGAGGGAGGGAGCUCCUUUGGCGGGAAUCUGUACAGGGCCCUGCAGGUCCCACCCAGUCUGUGGACCAGCAGGGCUCUGAACCUCCUGGGGGAAGGGGUGGAAGCUUCCCCUGGUUUGCCCAGUGCCAAGCCCCACCGUCUGGGGGUCCCAGGUCUGCUUCUAGGAGACAGGACACAUCUGCCUCCCAGGAGAGGGGCCUAGUAUGCGAUUGGGGUGGGGAAGGAAAGGGUGGGAGUGCCAAAGCUGGGCGUUUGGGUUCUAGGAGACAUCUCCUGGGCCCAACUUCCCCCACCCCCCAGGACUGCACGAUGGGUGAGAGGCGCGGACGCCUGACCCCUAGUGGUGGUUACAAUAACGACACCGCCAAACGCUGGGGCGGGGCUAGGAAUCUGGACGUUCAACAGCAGGGACAGUCAUCGCCCAGCGUUUCCGCAGCCCGGGACCGCUAGCACAGGUCUGAUGCCACCGAAUUCCCCAGGCGAUCGGGUGUUACGAUCACCCCCGCUGUGUAGAUAGGCCACGUGAGGCUCGGAGAGAGAGAGAGAGGCAGAGACACAGGCAGAGGGAGAAGCAGACUCCAUGCAGGGAGCCUCAUGUGGGACUCGAUCCCAGGACCCCGGGAUCACGACCUGAACCAAAUGCAGAUGCUCAACCACUGAGCCACCCAGGUGCCCCUGGGCUGGACACCUCUCUGAAACCCCACAUGAGCCCACCAGCCGGAUGGGAAAACAAAGGUGGAUCCAGAAAUGUGGAUGAUUCCCCCUGGAAGCAGAGCAAGGGUCACAGCAAGAAGACGGCCAUCUACGAAGUGGGAAGCGCCUCUCACCAGACACCAAAUCUGCAUGCUCCUUGGUCUGCAACGUCCAGCCUUCGGAUGGUGUGCGACCCUGCAGGAAUUCCCGGUGCUGCUGGCGACACGUGGUGGAAACUUCCAGAGCUUUGGACACGGCGGGAUGCUGGCAGCAGGUAAAGGCCCGGAGCUGGCACGGAGGGCAGCUCACGAUCCUCAGGAUGGUGACUCUGCAUCUGUCAGGGCUUUGGGGACAGCCAGGGUUUUCAUAGUUGUGGCAUGACAACUGUCCCUGGCAAAGGGAAACAUUAUGGAUAAAGGAAUCAAGACCAGAGUGUAAGGGAGUUGCCCAAAGACACACAGUAGCUGCUAAGUUGGGACCAGAAUGCUCGGUUCUGAGUCUUAGUGUGCUGCUCCAUUUACCUGGGGUUCCCGGUGGGUAUUGGGGUGCAAACUGAUGGGCUAAUUGUUGGGGCCAUCUCAGGGCCUCAGGGCCUCCCUCUGGAUACAGGGAUGCUAAGUCCACUCUCCACUUGUCAGCUGUUACCUAGAGCAGACCUCCCACCCCCACCCCCCCACCCCCCAGCAAAUCAAAGGGACAGAAAAGAUAAUAAGGUCAGUAACAUGGAAGUUCUGCUUAAUGUAAACUUUUCUGCUAAAUGUAACACUGCCUGUGGGGGGCGGGGAGCAGAUAGGGAAUGGUUCUGGAAUCUCCUGAGGAAUGCUUUGGAAGGCCUCCUGGUUUCCCGCUGGUACAGCCUUCAGGCAGCCCCUAUUACUAUGCACAACAGUGUCGGUCCACUGGAGUCACCAGGGCAGCCGGAGGCCCGGGGCAGGCACGCAGGCCUGGGGCGCUGCCCGCAGUACCCGUGGGGCUCGGGCUGGGGAGCACCGCACACUUCCCAGCAGCCCGGGGUGCUUUUCCGGAGUCCAGGCCUCUCCGAGAAUUGUUAAAGCUUGCUUCCAUCUACACCAUAACCUAAGAGGCAGCGGCACAUUCUGGGUCAUCUCAAUGACUUCCCGAUGGCCAGGUUCUGCUGCCUUCUGAGUCCGAGGCUGUUUGCACUGACCGUGGCUGAGGCACCAUCCUUCUUUGUGAUGAGCCCAUGACGGGUGGGCUCGGGAAGCGAGUAAAGGCCGUCCCGUGCCCUGUGUGGACGGUGGGCAUCUCAACCACACCGCAGCAGACGGCUGUCUGGAAGGGGGCCCCACAGAAGGGCUCAUCUACUCAUCCGUUCCACUGGCGAGGAUCCUUGUGGGGCCGUCACUGGGAACCCUGCUCCAAGGACCUCUCAGAACCCAGUGAGAGCACUGGUAAAAACUGUCCCCCCAAAAAUAGACUUCUCCAGAACUCUGGAAAUGAACUAAAGGCUUGUAACAACCCGGUAGUGUUCAUUUAAGAAAAGCGACUGAUUCUCGGCACAAGUGAGCCUUGUGACAUUGUCAC